This 67-nucleotide transfer RNA is filed under the name Meimuna opalifera. RNAcentral describes it as "tRNA-Val". The record is from RNAcentral. Lineage: Eukaryota; Metazoa; Arthropoda; Insecta; Hemiptera; Cicadidae.
CAAAUUAAAACUAAAAUAGUAUUUUAUUUACACUAAAAUUUUUAAUUGUUAAAUCAAUUUAAUUUGA